This 506-nucleotide ribosomal RNA is filed under the name uncultured bacterium. RNAcentral describes it as "partial 16S ribosomal RNA". It matches the Rfam family "Bacterial small subunit ribosomal RNA", at positions 28 to 523 of the family's 1533-position model. The record is from RNAcentral.
GAUAAACGCUAGCUACAGGCUUAACACAUGCAAGUCGAGGGGUAACGAGAGGAAAGCUUGCUUUCCUUGUCGACGACCGGCGCACGGGUGAGUAACGCGUAUCCAACCUGCCCCCAACUAGGGAAUAACCUUGCGAAAGUAAGACUAAUACCCUAUAAUUUCCUCAGAUGACAUCUGACGAGGAAUAAAGAUUUAUCGGUUGUGGAUGGGGAUGCGUCUGAUUAGCUUGUUGGCGGGGUAACGGCCCACCAAGGCAACGAUCAGUAGGGGUUCUGAGAGGAAGGCCCCCCACAAUGGAACAGAGACACGGUCCAAACUCCUACGCGAGGCAGCAGUGAGGAAUAUUGGUCAAUGGGCGAAAGCCUGAACCAGCCAAGUAGCGUGCAGGAUGACGGCCCUAUGGGUUGUAAACUGCUUUUAUACAGGAAUAAAGUUAGCCACGUGUGGUUAUUUGUAGGUACUGUAUGAAUAAGGACCGGCUAAUUCCGUGCCAGCAGCCGCCGUAA